RNAcentral lists this ribosomal RNA (262 nucleotides) under uncultured archaeon. Its description in RNAcentral is "partial 16S ribosomal RNA". It matches the Rfam family "Archaeal small subunit ribosomal RNA", at positions 748 to 1008 of the family's 1478-position model. The record is from RNAcentral.
AGGGUGUAAACGCUGCAGACUUGGUGUUGGAAGCCCUUUGGGGGCAUUCAGUGCCGGAGAGAAGUUGUUAAAUCUGCUACUUGGGGAGUACGUCCGCAAGGAUGAAACUUAAAGGAAUUGGCGGGGGGAGCACCGCAACGGGAGGAGCGUGCGGUUUAAUUGGAUUCAACACCGUAAAACUCACCAGGGAAGACUGUUACAUGAAGGCCGAGAUGAAGACUCUGCCAGAUUUUCAGAGAGGAGGUGCAUGGCGUCAGUGACU